Molecule: ribosomal RNA, 468 nt
Filed under: uncultured bacterium
Lineage: Bacteria
Description: partial 16S ribosomal RNA
Rfam family: Bacterial small subunit ribosomal RNA
Source: RNAcentral
GACGAACGCUGGCGGCGUGCUUAACACAUGCAAGUCGAACGGAAAGGCCCUGCUUUUGUGGGGUGCUCGAGUGGCGAACGGGUGAGUAACACGUGAGUAACCUGCCCUUGACUUUGGGAUAACUUCAGGAAACUGGGGCUAAUACCGGAUCGGAGCUCCAGUUGCAUGGUGGGGGUUGGAAAGUUUCGGCGGUUGGGGAUGGACUCGCGGCUUAUCAGCUUGCUGGUGGGGUAGUGGCUUACCAAGGCUUUGACGGGUAGCCGGCCUGAGAGGGUGACCGGCCACAUUGGGACUGAGAUACGGCCCAGACUCCUACGGGAGGCAGCAGUGGGGAAUAUUGCACAAUGGGCGGAAGCCUGAUGCAGCAACGCCGCGUGCGGGAUGACGGCCUUCGGGUUGUAAACCGCUUUCGCCUGUGACGAAGCGUGAGUGACGGUAAUGGGUAAAGAAGCACCGGCUAACUACGUG